Molecule: long non-coding RNA, 256 nt
Organism: Apus apus (common swift)
Lineage: Eukaryota; Metazoa; Chordata; Aves; Apodiformes; Apodidae
Exons: 3
Source: RefSeq, a predicted model, not a curated record
CUUAAGUUGCUGCAUCUGUGGGCUCUCCGAGGGUGCUGGUCUGUUGUUCCCAGUGUCUGGGCUGUUCUUGAAGGGCUGGAACUCCAGAAAGCUGAGAUAAGAGCCCUACCCUUUCCUUGUUGCAGUGAGCAUGACAGCAUGGAGAGGAAUGCUAGUACUCAAGAUGCUGUCAAGAUUUUCCUUUGUACAUAUCUGAUCGGAUCGUGCCAGGUUUGGCUCUGUGCCUUUUCAGGCGAGCUCCUCUCUGAUGAGGACA